GAGUGAGGACAAGCAAGUCCUAGGUAACAAACUGAACCCUCCAAAGCAAGAACAGUAUGCAUUUCUUCCCUUAGGAGGUGCUGUGCUGCUAUUGUAACAAGAAAAAGGUUUCAGUUUUGCUUUUGCAUGUUAGUGGGUGUGUUUGGUUUGUUCUGUCCUCUUCACUAGGCCUCAAAAGUAUUAGAAGAAAAUACAGAGCAACAAAAAGGACCUGAAAGUAUAUACUUAAUUAAAAAA
Non-coding RNA from Pelobates cultripes (western spadefoot toad), 237 nucleotides. The record is from the annotation of a GenBank genome assembly. NCBI's taxonomy places the organism in Eukaryota, Metazoa, Chordata, Amphibia, Anura, Pelobatidae.